This is a non-coding RNA of Gossypium arboreum, 144 nucleotides long. NCBI's taxonomy places the organism in Eukaryota, Viridiplantae, Streptophyta, Magnoliopsida, Malvales, Malvaceae. The record is from Rfam.
UGUUGAAAAAUUCAUUCAUUUCUAUUGUUAAAAAUUAACAUGAUUGAUUGAAUACUAAACAAUGACACAUGGCAUGCCAUGUGUACCUUAUGCUAAAGUAUAUGGACCAAUUUUUAACAAUAAAAAUGGAUAAAAAAUUUAACA